UACGAAGGGGGCGAGCGUUGUUCGGAAUUACUGGGCGUAAAGGGCGCGCAGGCGGCCGAUCAAGUCAGGCGUGAAAGCCCCGGGCUUAACCUGGGAAUUGCGCUUGGGACUGAUGGGCUAGAGUUCGGGAGAGGAGAGUGGAAUUCCCAGUGUAGAGGUGAAAUUCGUAGAUAUUGGGAAGAACACCGGUGGCGAAGGCGGCUCUCUGGACCGAUACUGACGCUGAGGCGCGAAAGCGUGGGGAG
RNAcentral lists this ribosomal RNA (245 nucleotides) under uncultured Rhodocista sp. RNAcentral's name for it is "partial 16S ribosomal RNA". It matches the Rfam family "Bacterial small subunit ribosomal RNA", at positions 524 to 768 of the family's 1533-position model. Lineage: Bacteria; Pseudomonadati; Pseudomonadota; Alphaproteobacteria; Rhodospirillales; Azospirillaceae. The record is from RNAcentral.